Molecule: ribosomal RNA, 492 nt
Filed under: uncultured bacterium
Lineage: Bacteria
Description: partial 16S ribosomal RNA
Source: RNAcentral
GUAGUUAGCCGGGGCUUCCUCCUUGGCUACCGUCACUUCCUUCGUCACCAAGGACAGAGGUUUACAAUCCGAAAACCUUCUUCCCUCACGCGGCGUUGCUGGGUCAGGCUUUCGCCCAUUGCCCAAUAUUCCCCACUGCUGCCUCCCGUAGGAGUUUGGACCGUCUCUCAGUUCCAAUGUGGCCGUUCAUCCUCUCAGAUCGGCUACCGAUCGCAGACUUGGUGGGCCGUUACCUCACCAACUAUCUAAUCGGACGCGAACUCACCCCAAACCGGAUUGCUCCUUUGACCCCUCGACCAUGCGGUCAUGUGGUCUCAUGCGGUAUUAGCAGAUGUUUCCAUCUGUUAUCCCCCUGUUCGGGACAGAUUGUUCACGCGUUACUCACCCGUCCGCCGCUAAAACAGUUCCUAGCAAGCUAUUCCCUGUCUCCGCUCGACUUGCAUGUGUUAGGCACGCCGCCAGCGUUCGUCCUGAGCCAGAAUCAAACUCUGA